RNAcentral lists this ribosomal RNA (459 nucleotides) under Corynebacterium matruchotii. Its description in RNAcentral is "bacterial SSU rRNA". It matches the Rfam family "Bacterial small subunit ribosomal RNA", at positions 28 to 477 of the family's 1533-position model. The record is from RNAcentral. Lineage: Bacteria; Bacillati; Actinomycetota; Actinomycetes; Mycobacteriales; Corynebacteriaceae.
GACGAACGCUGGCGGCGUGCUUAACACAUGCAAGUCGAACGGAAAGGCCCCCACUUUUUUGGUGGGGGUGCUCGAGUGGCGAACGGGUGAGUAACACGUGGGUGAUCUGCCCUGCACUUCGGGAUAAGCUUGGGAAACUGGGUCUAAUACCGGAUAGGACCAUGGUUUAGUGUCUCAUGGUGGAAAAAUUAUUGUUUUGGUGCAGGAUGAGCUCGCGGCCUAUCAGCUUGUUGGUGGGGUAAUGGCCUACCAAGGCGUCGACGGGUAGCCGGCCUGAGAGGGUGGACGGCCACAUUGGGACUGAGAUACGGCCCAGACUCCUACGGGAGGCAGCAGUGGGGAAUAUUGCACAAUGGGCGCAAGCCUGAUGCAGCGACGCCGCGUGGGGGAUGACGGCCUUCGGGUUGUAAACUCCUUUCGUUAGGGACGAAGCCGCACCUGUUUUGGGUGGGGACGGUA